CCGGGUAUAGCGAAGUUGGUAUCGCGCCUGGUUUGGGACCAGGAGACCGUGCGUUCGAGCCGCACUAGGAGACCGUGCGUUCGAGCCGCACUACUCGGACCA
RNAcentral lists this transfer RNA (102 nucleotides) under Bacillota bacterium. Its description in RNAcentral is "tRNA-Pro". It matches the Rfam family "tRNA". From Rfam's summary of the family: Transfer RNA (tRNA) molecules are approximately 80 nucleotides in length. Their secondary structure includes four short double-helical elements and three loops (D, anti-codon, and T loops). Further hydrogen bonds mediate the characteristic L-shaped molecular structure. tRNAs have two regions of fundamental functional importance: the anti-codon, which is responsible for specific mRNA codon recognition, and the 3' end, to which the tRNAs corresponding amino acid is attached (by aminoacyl-tRNA synthetases). tRNAs cope with the degeneracy of the genetic code in two manners: having more than one tRNA (with a specific anti-codon) for a particular amino acid; and 'wobble' base-pairing, i.e. permitting non-standard base-pairing at the 3rd anti-codon position. The record is from RNAcentral. Lineage: Bacteria; Bacillati; Bacillota.